CUUCCCCCUCCCCCAGACCUUUUCUUCUUCACACCCUAUUUUCCAUGUCUUCUAUUUCAUUUUUUUUUUCUCAUCACUCUUCUCUACAACUUAAUUUCUUCAUCAAUUCAUUUUUUCUCAUCAAUGAUCAAACCCAUCAUAAAUUUCACCACCCCUCUUCAUCUUCAAACCCAAUUUUUGUUCUCCAUCUUGAACCACGCCCCCCCCCCCCCCCACCACCCACUUGCUUUCCUCCUCUUUUUUUAUUUUUUUUAUUUUAUAAACCCCCUCAUUUUAACUACCCUAUAGGUAUUAUAUUUUCAAAGGGGCGAGCUACGAUUUUGAUGGCGGGUUUGGUGAUAGGUGCAAAAUUUACAGUGGUUCUUACAAUUUUGGAUGGUUUCAAUGGUGGUGAUGUGAUUCCAGUGGUGAAUUUUGAAUAUAUGGUGGUCUCUGAUGGUCGAUUUGGAUCUAUGGUGGUUUUGGUUACUGGGUGUUGGUCGACAAGUUUGUUCACCGGCCACCAUUUCUCCCGGCGAGGUUGGCUUAAUUUUUUAUUUUUUUUUUGUGGAGAAGAUAAGUAUGAUACUUCGCAUCGCGUGGAACGCAGUAGCGACAAAUUCAUGAGAAAUUUACACUUUCAGAGAGCUACGAUUGAUUAAGUUGUGAAUCUAGUAGUGGUGGGAUGAAUUUGGUGGUGGGUGAUUAUCCAUGGUGGUUGAGUGGUUGCAUUUUUUAUGAAUGUGAAGGAGAAGCAAUUAAAUGA
Long non-coding RNA from Lycium barbarum (goji berry), 745 nucleotides. RefSeq lists it as uncharacterized. The transcript has 2 exons. The record is from RefSeq and is a predicted model, not a curated record. Lineage: Eukaryota; Viridiplantae; Streptophyta; Magnoliopsida; Solanales; Solanaceae.